RNAcentral lists this ribosomal RNA (253 nucleotides) under uncultured bacterium. RNAcentral's name for it is "partial 16S ribosomal RNA". It matches the Rfam family "Bacterial small subunit ribosomal RNA", at positions 524 to 776 of the family's 1533-position model. The record is from RNAcentral.
UACGUAGGUCCCGAGCGUUGUCCGGAUUUACUGGGUGUAAAGGGGGCGCAGACGGCAGCGCAAGCCAGGAGUGAAAGCCCGGGGCCCAACCCCGGGACUGCUCUUGGAACUGCGCGGCUGGAGUGCAGGAGGGGCAGGCGGAAUUCCUGGUGUAGCGGUGAAAUGCGUAGAUAUCAGGAGGAACACCGGUGGCGAAGGCGGCCUGCUGGACUGCGACUGACGUUGAGGCCCGAAAGCGUGGGGAGCAAACAGG